Transfer RNA from Beauveria bassiana ARSEF 2860, 85 nucleotides. It matches the Rfam family "tRNA". From Rfam's summary of the family: Transfer RNA (tRNA) molecules are approximately 80 nucleotides in length. Their secondary structure includes four short double-helical elements and three loops (D, anti-codon, and T loops). Further hydrogen bonds mediate the characteristic L-shaped molecular structure. tRNAs have two regions of fundamental functional importance: the anti-codon, which is responsible for specific mRNA codon recognition, and the 3' end, to which the tRNAs corresponding amino acid is attached (by aminoacyl-tRNA synthetases). tRNAs cope with the degeneracy of the genetic code in two manners: having more than one tRNA (with a specific anti-codon) for a particular amino acid; and 'wobble' base-pairing, i.e. permitting non-standard base-pairing at the 3rd anti-codon position. NCBI's taxonomy places the organism in Eukaryota, Fungi, Ascomycota, Sordariomycetes, Hypocreales, Cordycipitaceae. The record is from Rfam.
UCCGGUAUGGUGUAGUGGCUAACAUCGCUCGCUCUCAAUCAAUCAUUGGUCCGAGCAGCCCAGGGUUCGAUUCCCUGUACCGGAG